Long non-coding RNA from Nomascus leucogenys (northern white-cheeked gibbon), 796 nucleotides. RefSeq lists it as uncharacterized. NCBI's taxonomy places the organism in Eukaryota, Metazoa, Chordata, Mammalia, Primates, Hylobatidae. The transcript is spliced from 3 exons. The record is from RefSeq and is a predicted model, not a curated record.
CCUUUUUUCCAAUGUUAUACAUAUAUAAAAAGACCAAAACUUUCUGGCUUGCACUCCCUAGGCCAAAUUCCUUUAACUGUGUCAUUUAAUCGGUCCUUCCUUGUGUGGCACUGGCUGUCCAUUUUCCCAAGCCCUCGCAUGUCCUGGAUGGCCGAUCAUCAUCCACACGGGGGCUGAAAGGCCCGGCUCCAGUACUCCUGUGGUCACUAUCCUGCUGAAUCGCUUUGAACCACCAUUGGCCUAACCGCAACUCCCAUCCCGCUUCCCUCCUGCCUCGCCACCGCAGGCCUGUCCCUUUGCGUUCUUGUUAAAACCGCGCACCGUUUAAGGCCGCUUCGAGCCUACUGGAUCCCUGGUUCCAACCCAGCAGGAUCACGGAAGCAGGGCCAGCUGCCAGGCUUCUGCAAAAGACUUGAGACAGCUCACAAUGAAGUACUCUGUAUUAGGCAGGGUGAUAUUGAUUGCAAAUGACAGAAACCCGAUCAGAAACUCACUGGAGUCAUGAGGAACACUUAUUGGCUCAGAGUAAAGGCAAAAUAGACCUUCAAAGAAAUAAAGUCUGGGAAAUUGACUAGCUCCUCACUGAAAGAACUACUAAAGGAUGUACUUAUGGAAGAAGAAAAUUACAAAAUGAAAGAACUGGGAUGCAAGAAGUAAUGGUGAGCAUGGAAUUUGGCAAAGAUUCAAGUAAAACAAAGCAAGGACUGAGUAUAUAAAAUCAUAAUCAUAACAAAUUUUGACUAUUAUAUGUAACAGCCAAUCUCUUAACUGGAUCAUAAUAGUCAAGAAAGCGAAA